UACGGGGGGGGCGAGCGUUGUUCGGAAUUACUGGGCGUAAAGGGUUUGUAGGUGGUCUGCUAAGUCAGACGUGAAAUCCCUCAGCUUAACUGGGGAACUGCGUCUGAUACUGGCGGACUUGAGCACUGUAGAGGCAGGCGGAAUUCCGGGUGUAGCGGUGGAAUGCGUAGAGAUCCGGAAGAACACCGGUGGCGAAGGCGGCCUGCUGGGCAGUAGCUGACACUGAGGCGCGACAGCGUGGGGAGCAAACAGG
This 253-nucleotide ribosomal RNA is filed under the name uncultured bacterium. RNAcentral describes it as "partial 16S ribosomal RNA". It matches the Rfam family "Bacterial small subunit ribosomal RNA", at positions 524 to 776 of the family's 1533-position model. The record is from RNAcentral.